RNAcentral lists this ribosomal RNA (872 nucleotides) under uncultured bacterium. Its description in RNAcentral is "bacterial SSU rRNA". It matches the Rfam family "Bacterial small subunit ribosomal RNA", at positions 9 to 873 of the family's 1533-position model. The record is from RNAcentral.
AGAGUUUGAUCCUGGCUCAGAUUGAACGCUGGCGGCAUGCCUUACACAUGCAAGUCGAACGACGCCAGGGGGCAACUCCUGGCGAGUGGCGAACGGGUGAGUAAUGCAUCGGAACGUGCCCUCUUGUGGGGGAUAACCAGUCGAAAGAUUGGCUAAUACCGCAUGAGCUCGCGAGAGGAAAGCAGGGGACCCGCAAGGGCCUUGCGCGAGAGGAGCGGCCGAUGCCCGAUUAGCUAGUUGGUGGGGUAAUAGCCCACCAAGGCGACGAUCGGUAGCUGGUCUGAGAGGACGACCAGCCACACUGGGACUGAGACACGGCCCAGACUCCUACGGGAGGCAGCAGUGGGGAAUUUUGGACAAUGGGCGCAAGCCUGAUCCAGCCAUGCCGCGUGUGUGAAGAAGGCCUUCGGGUUGUAAAGCACUUUCGGCCGGAACGAAAUCGCGCGGGUGAACAAUCCGCGCGGAUGACGGUACCGGAAGAAGAAGCACCGGCUAACUACGUGCCAGCAGCCGCGGUAAUACGUAGGGUGCGAGCGUUAAUCGGAAUUACUGGGCGUAAAGCGUGCGCAGGCGGCGCCGCAAGUCAGGCGUGAAAUCCCCGGGCUUAACCUGGGAAUGGCGCUUGAAACUACGGUGCUGGAGUGUGGCAGAGGGAGGUGGAAUUCCACGUGUAGCGGUGAAAUGCGUAGAGAUGUGGAGGAACACCGAUGGCGAAGGCAGCCUCCUGGGCCAACACUGACGCUCAUGCACGAAAGCGUGGGGGAGCAAACAGGAUUAGAUACCCUGGUAGUCCACGCCCUAAACGAUGAUGACUAGUUGUUGGGGGAGUUAAAUCCCUUAGUAACGCAGCUAACGCGUGAAGUCAUCCGCCU